Molecule: ribosomal RNA, 495 nt
Filed under: uncultured bacterium
Lineage: Bacteria
Description: partial 16S ribosomal RNA
Rfam family: Bacterial small subunit ribosomal RNA
Source: RNAcentral
GACGAACGCUGGCGGCGUGCCUAAUACAUGCAAGUAGAACGCUGAAGGAGGAGCUUGCUUCUCUGGAUGAGUUGCGAACGGGUGAGUAACGCGUAGGUAACCUGCCUGGUAGCGGGGGAUAACUAUUGGAAACGAUAGCUAAUACCGCAUAAUAGCAGUUGUUGCAUGACAACUGUUUGAAAGGUGCAAUUGCACCACUACCAGAUGGACCUGCGUUGUAUUAGCUAGUUGGUGGGGUAACGGCUCACCAAGGCGACGAUACAUAGCCGACCUGAGAGGGGGGUCGGCCACACUGGGACUGAGACACGGCCCAGACUCCUACGGGAGGCAGCAGUAGGGAAUCUUCGGCAAUGGACGGAAGUCUGACCGAGCAACGCCGCGUGAGUGAAGAAGGUUUUCGGAUCGUAAAGCUCUGUUGUAAGAGAAGAACGAGUGUGAGAGUGGAAAGUUCACACUGUGACGGUAUCUUACCAGAAAGGGACGGCUAACUACGUG